UGCUCCGGUGGUCUAAGAGAAUAAGAUACGCAGCUGCCAACUGCGGGAUGCGGGUGUAAUUCCUGCCCGGAGCAUC
RNAcentral lists this transfer RNA (76 nucleotides) under Gimesia alba. Its description in RNAcentral is "Planctomycetes bacterium Pan241w tRNA-Gly". It matches the Rfam family "tRNA". Rfam says of the family: Transfer RNA (tRNA) molecules are approximately 80 nucleotides in length. Their secondary structure includes four short double-helical elements and three loops (D, anti-codon, and T loops). Further hydrogen bonds mediate the characteristic L-shaped molecular structure. tRNAs have two regions of fundamental functional importance: the anti-codon, which is responsible for specific mRNA codon recognition, and the 3' end, to which the tRNAs corresponding amino acid is attached (by aminoacyl-tRNA synthetases). tRNAs cope with the degeneracy of the genetic code in two manners: having more than one tRNA (with a specific anti-codon) for a particular amino acid; and 'wobble' base-pairing, i.e. permitting non-standard base-pairing at the 3rd anti-codon position. The record is from RNAcentral. Lineage: Bacteria; Pseudomonadati; Planctomycetota; Planctomycetia; Planctomycetales; Planctomycetaceae.